GGCGGGGCCUGGGGUAGGGCCAGGAUAAGCGACAUCGGGGCAGGUCCUGGGUAGAGUCCAGGUUGGCGGUUCCUGGGGCAGGGCCAGGAUAGGGCGAUCCUGGAAGCUGGGCUUCGGAAGCGUCCAGCUGUUGUUCCCCACCAGAACCAAAUGAGCGCAAGAUCUGACAAAGAAAAAAAAAGCUGGGGAAACUGAGUUACAGAGCUUGUCUGCACUGAGUCAUCAGGAGCAAAUGCUAGAUCAGAUAGGGUCUCUCUCUCUGCCACCCAGGCCAGAGUGCAGUUGACGCAGGGCAGGGGAGCCCCGAAGUGGAGCAUAGUGUGUCCGGAACUGGUGGGUUCUUGGUCUCACUGACUUCAAGAAAGAAGCCGCGGACCCUCGCGAGACGGGGUCUUGCUCUGUUGCUCAAGCUGGA
This 415-nucleotide long non-coding RNA is filed under the name Homo sapiens (human). RNAcentral's name for it is "HSALNT0345282". Lineage: Eukaryota; Metazoa; Chordata; Mammalia; Primates; Hominidae. The record is from RNAcentral.